CGCACAUGCAGCAUUUGGAAGUUCCCAGGUUAGGGGUCCAAACAGGAGCUGCAGCUGCCGACCUACACCACAGCCACAACAACACCAGAUCCAAGUCAUGUCUGUGACCUACACGACAGCUCAUGGCAACGCCACAUCCUCAACCCACUGGUGGAGGCCAGGAAUCAAAUCCUCAUCGUCAUACUACUUGGGUUGGUUACCACUGAGCCACAAGGAGAACCCUCUUUCUUUUUUAACAGCCACACUCAUGGCACAUGGAAGUUCCCAGGUCAGGGACUGAAUCCAAGCCACAGCUGCGACCUAUGCAACAGGCACGGCAUCCUUAACCCACUGUGUCGGGCUGGGGAUCAAACGCACACAUCACAGCAUCCAGAGCUGCUGCAGUCAGACUCUUAACACCACGUGCCACAGCGGAAACUCUAUUUCUUACCCACUUCCUCCUUUACAAAGUAGAAGCCAAACACCCAAGGUGAAAUCAAUGAGCACCAUUCCUAUGCUAUAGCAACAGAAACGAAUAGUCGUAAGAAAUACGUUUGUGUUCUCGAAGUGCUCUAAUGGAAUGAAUUCUCUCCUCUUUUUUUCUUGCCGUCAGUAUACUGUUUUCAUCUCACAUGAACUGGUAAUUAUUGUAUGCAGCGUUUUCCCAUCAGGAGCACUUAGUAAUUUUCAAAAACACUGCUCUGAUCCCAUCACUUCCCCACCCCUAAACAUUUCACAGUUUAUCUGAUGAAGUCCAAGCCAUUUAGCCAUUGCUUAAUUUGGCCAGAUCGCCUCCCACGACAGAGCUCUGCUCUGGAAAAAGGAUUUACGUGCACCUUCUCUAGCCCUGCACCUUCUGCAAGUGUCGCCACCCCAGGAAGCCUCAGACCACUGACAACCAGACUGAAUUUCCUCCCUCAUCUGAAUGUCUAUAGCCCCAACUCCUCCUGUCCUAAACCACCUUGAGUGAGCUCCUCUCUGCCCACUAGAUCACUCAGCACUACAAAGUGUCGAGCUGUCUUUGCCUCAUGGACACGACAGCUGAACAGCUCAGAGCUAAAUGCACCUCUUGCUUCCUAUAGGUACAGGACCGUGUGACAGACACUUCCUACCAUUCCUCCAGCCCCAGUUCCAGUCCCCUGUUCUGACCCUUAUCUCCUCUCAGACACAUGUGCUUCUCUGACUUGUAACUCAUUUAAUUUCACCACGUGCAUGUAUCCCUUGGAGGAGCUGGCAAGAGGGGGAGUUCCCUGGUGGCUCCAUGAGUUAAGGAUCCAGUUCCGCCACUGCACUGGUUGCUGCUGUGGUGUGGGUCUGAUCCCUGGCCAGGGAACAUCCACAUGCUGCAGGUAGGGCCAAAAAAAAAACACCAAAAAAAUGGGAGUUCCCUUUGUGGCUCAGAGGGUUAAGAACCCGACUGGUAUCAAACUCGGUAUGCUUGUUUGAUCCUUAGCCUUGCUCAGUGGGUUAAGGAUCUGACGUUGUCACAAGCUGCAGUGUAGGUCACAGAUGCAGCUUGGAUCUGGCGUUGCUAUGGCUGUGGCUCCGUUCAACUCCUAGCCUGGGAACUUCCAUAAGCCAUCAGUGUAGCCCCAAAAAGACAAAACGAAACAAAACAAAACAAACAACAAAAAAAAAGCAAAACCACAAGCUGGCAAAAAAGGUCUUAACAGGCUGACAUUUGUCGUUAUAUAAAGAUGUGUCAGAAAUAAGCAAGCACAAAUGCUGAGAUUCUGAAGGCCACCACUGCUGUGACCAACCACGACUCAUAAGCUACUCAACCCUGGGUGCAAUAACCAACACUGAGGCCCUGAUCUGACCCAAAUUCAGAGGUUUCUCAUUCUUUAAGAUAUUUUCAGAAAAACUGUAAGACUGUCCAU
This 1859-nucleotide long non-coding RNA is filed under the name Sus scrofa (pig). RNAcentral's name for it is "lncRNA (ENSSSCG00000057786.1)". Lineage: Eukaryota; Metazoa; Chordata; Mammalia; Artiodactyla; Suidae. The record is from RNAcentral.